RNAcentral lists this transfer RNA (72 nucleotides) under Gymnopilus junonius. It matches the Rfam family "tRNA". Rfam says of the family: Transfer RNA (tRNA) molecules are approximately 80 nucleotides in length. Their secondary structure includes four short double-helical elements and three loops (D, anti-codon, and T loops). The record is from Rfam by way of RNAcentral. Lineage: Eukaryota; Fungi; Basidiomycota; Agaricomycetes; Agaricales; Galerinaceae.
GAUCUGAUAGCUCAGUGGUUAGAGUAUCUGGGAUCUUUUCAGAGGGCCUGGGUUCAAUCCCCAGUCUGGUCA